GGGAAGGGCUGGCAUUAGAUGAGGGGCCUGGAGCAUGGGGCACCUCCUGACACCCCCUCAUGGAUCUGGGGACUUGGAUCUGGCUCUGGGGGGCCCCCCGGGGCGGGGCAGAGGUCUUGGUGUGGAGCCCCCUUCUCCCUAUCCCGGGCCCAGCCCCCACCAGUGUGGGUGGAUGGAACAUAAAGGCCCGUCUGGUGUGGCCUGAGGGCUGCAGCUGCUGAGAGAAGCGUCCUGUCCACCUUCAGGCAGAGAGGGGGCCGGAUCCCGACAACUGUGUCUGCCAGGCCUCUGCCGAGCUAGGGGCCUCCAGACACGAAGGGCUUCCUACUUGCCUCUCUCCUCUCCUCCAGAGCACAACUAAGGAAACGGCUUGCUAGGAGAGUAAAAACUCUCUCUUCUAACAUUUGCUUUUAUUAAUGCUUCUUUUUAUUAAACUUUCUUACCAGUGUUCUUUGUGUUCCUUUUAUCGUCCCGUGCCUCACCCAGAAAGCCGCAGGGUUUGGUUUUGCCCGUGACUCUCGUGGGUAGGGGAACCCUGCUUUUGAACAAGGCCUGCCUCUCCAGUCCCCUCUGGCAGACAGGACAGGAUGGUGGUUAAGCACCCAGACUCCGGAGCCAGAGUGGGGCAGGAUCCUGGCGAUACGCUGCAGGUCUCUGCAGAAAUGUCACCUCCUCGGGGGCAGCUUUCCUGACUGCUCGGAGACAAAGCCUCCGACCCAGUCUGUCCCACGCCCGACCAUGGCUUUAUUAUUCUUCUGAAUGGUCUCCUGACCUGUGAAACAACACACCUCGGCAGUGCUCACUCAUGACGAAGGCUCGUUGUGCUCUCUCAUGGCUUCAUUUGAAGCCCGUGGCCUACACUAUCUCAUCACGAUGCCAACAAGGUAGGGCUGUAGUUAUCCCCAUUUUAGAGAUGCAAGAAAGUGUAGCACAGAGAGGUGAAGCGAGUUGCCUUAAGGUCACACAGCUAAGGGGACACUCUGUAAAAGACAGAGGACCGUAGGUGAGACUACUGGGGGUGCCUCUCUCAGUCCACUCGAGAGGGUAGGGAGCUGUCCUCACCCUACAAGCCCCAGGCCCGACCAAAUAAGGCAAAGACUGCCAACACAGGUAUCUCAAGAGAGAGGGGUUCUGGGAGGGGAUGGGCAGCCAGCUCAGCUUCCAGCUCCCUCCUCCAGGUUGCCUUCCUGGCUUGACUGUGCCUGGCUCAACUUUCCCAAGAUUCAGUGUGGACCUCCACGUGGAGACCAGGCCAACAAACGAUGGACUCCCGCAUGCUGUUGGCCUCAUGUCCCCUCGGGAGGUGUGGAGUGUCCUGACACCUCUCCUCUAUGAGUCAGGAGAGCCAGGCUACACUCAGACUCUCAUUCCGUGACUCGGAUGCCUUCCCUCCCUGGACCUCAGUUUCCUUAUCUGGCAAAGGGGGUGAUAACCCUGCCCCUGAUACUGGAAAUAAAGGACUGGGAGGCUGAGCAAUGUCGGACAAAGGGGAAGGACUGUUACUAUGGUUACUAUUGAACCAGAAACUUCUGGGGGGGGGGCUGGGUGAGGGGUUCUAACCCUGGAUCUUUGGACCCACAAGUUUUAGGGGGCCCUCCAGCCACAAGGCGAUACUAAUACCCUCCCCAUCUACCCACACUGAUGCCAGGGCUUAAAGGGGCCAAGUCACCUGUCCAGAGGCACACCGGGCUUCCACUCUGGCCUCUGCAGAUGAGCUUGCACGGAGUCACGUGCAAAAGGACGCAUUUGUUUCUGAAGAGGAAAGGUCUUCUGGGCCCCAGCUCCCCUUGAAGUGGCCCAUCUUCCUGAAGCUGGCAGUGCAGUGGGGUGGGGAGGAAGUGAGGCUCUCGCCUAGCACGAGGGUAUUUCCUUUGUGGGAAGGAGCUUUGCUGUGUCAGUCAUCUCUGCAGGGGCAGGGAUCGCUAAGGCCUGGAGCCCGGUUGAGGAGAGAGGGUGUCACUGGGCCACAGUGGUCCCCAAAUAUUCUGGACCUACCAGAGCAGGUGGUUCCCAGCUCCAGCCAGGACGUCGGUCAGGGGAGGGGCGCAGGCAGCAUGAGAAGGGGAAGCUGCCAGAAGAGGAACCCGUGUAUUGCUACUGGGGCCCGCCCACCUGUGCUUCCUCCCCAGGCAGGAGGAGCUGGGCCGGGGCAGCCCCAGCCUGGAGCUGAGGCCACAUUCUGACUGGCCCUUGGCUUCAGCUCUUCAAGUCUCCAGGGCUCCUCGCCCCUAGACACCCCUCUUGUCCCCGAUUCCCUGUCUCACAACUCCUUUGCCCCCAACUUUUCCUAUUGUUGCCAUCUCAGGCUGGGAAGGGGACCACAGCCCCCCACCUCCCCGGGCAACCCUCAUUCCAUUCUGUGACACCCUCACCCCGGGGCCCACCCCAAGGCCCGCACAGCCCCAUCUCUAGUUGGUGUCUUAACAGCCCACCUUGUCCCCACCUCCCUUCUGUCCAGGAAACUUCAGACCACACCACAGCUUCCUGCCUCUGACAGUGUCAGGGCGGGGUGGGGGGUGGGGGCAGGGGAGCCCGCCUCCCCCUCACCUGUCAGCACUAAGAGCUCCACCUCCCCUCAACCACCCUCAAGCCACUGUGUCUGUAUCUGCUUCCGCAGGAUGGAGACGCACAGCCAGACUGGCCUCCCACGUGACUCCCACAGACUGGCCUCCCCUGUGGCCAAGGUCCUGAGUGUGGAGAAAUUCAGCCUCUCAGGGGCCACCCUGAGCCCACAGUUCUGGCUGAUCAACCAGUGGUUGGUCAGAAAGAUGCUACUCUGCACUCCCCUCCACCGCCCCACCAUAGGGUUUAGCUCAUCAGGUUCCAGAACCUUCUACAAUAACUUUUACUAGACUCAUCUCCAGUAUAGUCAUUCCCUUCACCCCCUUAGUCUCUAUCUUUCUCUAGUAGGUCACCUGGCCACCCUUUUCUGCUGUUUAUUUUUGAUAUCCAUCUACCCCACAGGUAGAGAGGAUCUCACUGCCUUUAUUACACAGGACCUUCUCCAAGGGUGUCUCUGAAUCCAGAUUUAUUCUUUCUAUUUUUUUUUUCCAAUGCUUAUAAAUUUUUGAGAGAGAGAGAAAGAGCACGAGCAGUGGAGGGGCAGAGAGAGAGGGAGACACAGAAUCUGAAGCAGGCUCCAAGCUCUAAGCUGUCAGCACAAGAGCCAGAUUCGGGGCUCGCUUAACCAACUGAUCCACCCAGGCGCUCCUCAGAUUUAUUCUUCAUUCAUUCCAUAAGCGCCGUGCUGGGCACUUGGUGUGUAGAAGAGGAAUGACCCAGUCUCUCCUUCAUGUUCCUCGCAACAGGGCUUCCUGGGUCACGGUAGGGCACCCUUGAAGAAACACCCAUGUUUCUUUCUCCCUGAGUGUUCCUCCUUGGGCCGUCCUGCUGACUCUGAAGCCAUUCUACUCCCCCGGGACUCCACUGAAAGACUGUUUUAGCCCUGAUUACAGAGGAGGAACCUGAGGUCCAGGUGUCCCCGAUGACACACAGCCGAGGAGCCAGUGUCAACAAAGCCCAGGUCUGAUUCCAAAGCAUGUGGCAGGAAGAUCGUUGUUGCCCUGGUGGCCGCCCUGGUGCCUCUGAUGGCUGGGCCUGAAGCUCCGCCAUCCCUCCCGCAGCACCUGUUAGCGCAAAUCCUUCCUUACACCAAGCAGAAACUUCCAGAACCUCCACACCACAAUCUGUCCUGACAUGUUCUUUGAACAUCCUUCUCUGGGCAAGGCCACGAUGACCAGAAGUGGUCCCUGUGUUGGGUCUGAUGGGGGAGGCUUCCACGAACAGUGAACCCCAGGGGCCCUGAGGGCAGAGGAAGGAGGAGUGACCACUCCCCUCUGACUCUCCCUGCUGCACCAGCACCCCACCCACAAAGUGGGGCUAAUGGACCUGCCCCUCCCUGGGUCCCCAACAGGAAGCAUGUGAAACUAAAAGUGUUCCAGCCACACCAUGAUUUUUACUGCUCCUAGAGCUAUGUCCCUGGGAAUUCCUCAACAACUUUUGGCUUUCUCAGUUCACAGGGCUGGAAGCACAGCCCUGCCCUGGGGGUAGCCCUUCGGGGUCCUCAUCCAACAAGAUGGGGCUCCUUAGAAGCCGCUACGGGCGGGAGCCACCAUACAGUAAAGGCUGAUGAAGUCAGGAACGGAGGAGGGGUCUGGGGGCCAGACAGUCCCUUUUCUGAUUCUCUCCAGGGUGGCAUGAGAGAUCCAUUGACAGGCUUGGGGUGGGGCAUGUCUGGGUUUGGGCUCCGUCCUGUCCCGGGCCAGGGGAGACUUCCCCUUACACAUACAAGGCUUGGCUGGCAGGGAAAAGGGCACCUGAUGACAUGGUUCCACGCAGAUCACUAAACACUGAGUCACAGAGGUUGGGUGAGGUUCUAUCCGGGGAUCCUGACCUUUGUCCCCCAGUGUUGGCUGAGCCCAGAGGGGGACUGAGGGCAGGAUGCAAGCUCCUUGGGGGCAGACCCCGCACCCCCUCCCUGCAGCUCCCAACAACAGGGACUCUAAUAUCUGACUCGAUUCGCAUAAAUCCACUUGCUUUAGGAGCUGCAGGUGGCAGAGAGAACCUUAUUUUGGACUUACGUUCCCUAUAGCUGUGUUCCUUCCUCAGUGCUUGGUUUAUUCGUAGGGAACCAGGAAGACACAGAAAACUGUAGCCACAAAAUCCUAGAACCACAGGCUCAGAACUGUAGACCACAGAAUUCCAGAGCCGUGUAUUGUAGCCUAUGGAAUCCCAGAAGUGUGGAACUCAGAAUCAAUAUCCACAGGACCCUGGAGCCUCAGGACUGUCAACCACAGAAUCCCGGGGUCACAGGCUCUGAUCUGUAGCAUGGAAUAUUAUAGACCCGACCCAGAAAUUCAGCCCACAGAAUCCCAGCAUCAGUGGACUCAAACCUGCAGCCCACAGAGUCUUAAAGAGACCACAGCAUGCAACACAUGAAAUCCUGGAACCAUGGGGUGCAGAAGUGAUGCCCACGGUUUUCUAGAACCACAGGAGAGGAACGAAGCCAUGGGUUCCCAGCAUAUCAGCACUAGGAAGGUGGCGGAGGAGCUCAUGUCAUUCAAAGACCCUCCUUUCAAAGGGGCGACUGAGGCCCUCUGAGCCUCCAGGCCACCCUGCCAGCGCCCCUCCGCAGCCUUCAGGAGUGACAGGAUGUCAGGGCCCAAAGAGGCUGGUGGGGGUGGGGGGAUGCCCGGAGGGGGAUACCCGGGCGGGGGAAACCCUUUGGACACCCGGGACCCUCGGCGCGCAGGCGCACUCACCA
This is a long non-coding RNA of Neofelis nebulosa (Clouded leopard), 5263 nucleotides long. RefSeq lists it as uncharacterized. The record is from RefSeq and is a predicted model, not a curated record. NCBI's taxonomy places the organism in Eukaryota, Metazoa, Chordata, Mammalia, Carnivora, Felidae. The transcript is spliced from 4 exons.